Molecule: long non-coding RNA, 5303 nt
Filed under: Homo sapiens (human)
Lineage: Eukaryota; Metazoa; Chordata; Mammalia; Primates; Hominidae
Description: HSALNT0383463
Source: RNAcentral
AAUACUUCUAUCUGCCCUUUGUUGCACAUUUUGCAUGCCUGCCUGUUCCUCUACUGCUGCUGCUCGGUCUGUUUCUCUCUAAUCUACGCCUCAAACACUUCCCCUACCCAAUUCCAGGAGCUAACACAAAUGUAAAAUGUAAAUUGUGGCCUAGAUUGCUGCUACCGGAGUGUGGAGAGAGAUGCCAGAUUCUGUAAUAGCCUAGAUGUGUCGGGGAUCAACUUCCAGGUCCUUGCAUAUUGACAAACUCUUCUUGUAUCCAUCACUUGGGUUUCCUAUCGAGUUGUCUUCUUGGGCCAAUUAUGUACAUUUCCCAUGUGUUUUUCUUGGCAUACAGAGAACUCUAUAUUUGAGACCGUGAAGCCAACUUACUUCACAUUGAAACUUCCUUCUCUUUCACUUCCCUAUGAUAAAGCCUGAAGGAUAAUUCUGCCAAUAUUUUCUUCCAGCAAUAAUCAACUAUCUUACUAUCUGUAGUAAGUAGCUACUACAAAAUGUUAUGGCACAAUUGACAAUGACAUUAUACUACACAAACUUUCACCUCUGUCCUCAAGACAUUUUUACCAAAGAAGGGUUUUGAUUAUUCUGAACUCUAAGACUACUUCAAGACAAAAAGGAGGGAAGAACAUGUGCCAAGACACAGAUGUGCAGACCCAGUGCUGCCGGGAGGAUGGGGACAAGGAAGACAUCAAUGUGGUGAAUGAUGACUCAGGUUAGGGAUGGCAGGAGAGGAACUGAAAAGAAAGAUUGUGUUCUAACGAUGCAGUAAAGAAUCUGGAUCUCACCCAGUAAGCAGCAGAAAAGGCUCAAAGGACAUUUUUUCUCCAGAGACAUUAUCCAUUGGUUUUUUUAGGGAAAACAAAAUAACACCUGGUCAUGCUAUAGAGCAUUAACUGGGGAAGAGAGAAUGAGUGAGAGAAACACUGUUGCAACUAUCAGAGCAAGAGAUGAUGGGACCUAGUUUAGGGCAGUGAGAGUGUGUGCGUGGAGUGGAGGGGGCUCAUUUUGGAAAUCUUUCUGAGGCAUAGGCAAUGGUACUUAGUGUUCCACUGAUACUAUGGGUAAAGGAUGAGGGGUCAAAGUGGAGAGUGACUUCCUUAACCAAAGGAGGACAAGAAAAAGAAGCGAUGUUGCCGAAUGACAUUUACAAAAGUGUAUUUUCUAGUUGCAAGGAGUCUGAGAUACCUACGGAUUCUCCAAACAGGAUACCUAUAGACAGCUGAAAAUACAAGACUGGUUUUACACAGCAAUGUCAGAGCUGAAGAGACAGGUGAUAAUCACAGGCAUGAAUGUAUUGAAGUUACUGAGGGACUACAAAGUGAACAUAACUGGGAACAGCACCAUCAAAACGAUCAGCAUUUAAAGAGCAGGGAGUGGGAAGAGCCAAUGAUUGAAGCUGAGACUAAACUAACUGAAGAGAAAAUCAAGGCACAAUUCUUGCUAUAAUAUCCGAAGAGGGAACUUGCGGCAGACGGACUGGAGGGUGGGAUUUGCAUUCCUGUUUGGAGUCAGGAUUUCCAUGGUCUACACCUCAUGUGUUGCAUGUAGACGUUCAAGGUAUUUUUAUUGUGAUAUGUCAGCACACAGAAUUGGAAGGCAUGUCACAAGGUCAGGAGUUCGAGUUCUGUUGAUAGUCUCAGACCUCUUCCAACUUCAACAAGGUCAACAAGAUAAACCACAAACCUGGAUGAGUUCAUGUUAUUCCAGAUGCAUUAUCUCCUAAUCUUCAGGAAGAGGCUCCUUCAGCGGGAAGGAGCAUGGCAGGAUCUUCCCUGAAAAAACAGAAAUAGCCGUGUCUAAUCCCUGCUCUGCCUGGAAAGGAAAAGGCUCACCUACUUCCCAUGUCAAGGCAAGAAUCAGAAUUCCUCUCAAAUUCUUAAAACAUUGCAAAGUAAAGACAGAUACUAACUCUAAAUAUGAUUCAUGCUCAAGUUAUUAAAAAUGGAAUACAUUGUACCAGAAGGAAAAUGGUAAACAAUUUUAAAUUCCAAAGGCAAGGGAAUGUUUUUGGUUUAAUAACCAGAGUAUGGCUUCAACAGGAGCUUAUGUAGUAUACACACCAUAAUUAAAUCUAAUUCAAUCACCUGAGUAAUCAAGUGGUUAAGCGAAUAAACUAAGUAAUCAAUCGUAAAAGUGAUUUGCUGUUUAGAAGAAAGAAGUUGUAAUAUGUGUGCCAAUAUUUUUAAAGAAUAAGGAAUCUCAGGUCUUCAACUCUGUCAACAAUUAUUAGCAUUGUUUUGUUUCAGUCUUCUUAUUUACAGAGUAAAAAGACCAUUCAUUCAUUCAACAAGUAUUUAUGGAAAGCAGCAUUUUCUGAACAUGAUUCCUGCACUCAAGGUGUUUUACAAUCAUGUGGCCUGCCACUUUAUUGAAGAUGUUUUAGGGAAAACAAUUAACUUUUGACAAAGUUCAGAAUUAUUCAAACAUAACAUAAAUGGCCAAUGAAUCUUUUCAGAGAAAGCAUAGUCUAGUGGAUAAAUAUUUACACUAGUCUGCCCCUGAGUCUUACAAUUUUUCUAUGUCCAUUUUUCCUCACUCUGUAAUGGUGGGCAGACAGAAGGUGGGGCUAGCUGACCUUCAAAUUCCCUUCCAAUUUUUAUGAAAUACAAUUUUUAGUAUUAAGUGAGUAAUCACAUUGUGCAAGGUGCUUACCUGGAUAUAGCUCAGUUCUUUUUCUGAUUGCAAGAACAGAGCAAGAUGGAACCAUGAACUGCUAAACGACCCAUGGCAAUUUUUAAAGGAUUCCUCAAGCAGAUGGUUCUCUGGUAGUUCUUACAGCAGGAAAAGCCCCCUACAGUUCACAAAAGAGUCAAGUUGCAUUCUUCCAAACUGUCCUGAUUUUGCCGAUUUGCACAAUCUAAUAAAAUCUUUCCAUCAUAUUUCUCUUUUCCAUUUGUGGACCACUACUCAGUGAGUACAUUUAUUAUGUGUGGCUAAUAAUUUACUUUUUUGUUCUUUUUUGUUGUAAAAGCGUCAUAUUAACUACCUUUUGAGCGCAUGAAAAUGCAUAUUCGAAACAUUGCUGAGUUCAGAUUGAUUGAAUUUGACUGUGACCUUAGUGAGCCAUUCAUUUAUUCAACAAGGUUUGAUUGAACAUUUACCAUCCUAUCACUUCAGCCCACACAUUGGACAACCAAUCAGAGUUAUCACACUUCUUAGGGCAUAAAACAGAUACAUAUUCAUUAAGUUACAUAUUCCCAGUCCAAAUUAGCUUGACCCAAUUCAAGUCUUCCUUCAGAUUUUUAGAGUUCUUGCCAAAUCGUUUUCCUAUUCCCAUUUUCUCUUCACUUCCCAUUGCCCUCUUGUCCUCAAUUUCUUUUGUGUUCAUUCUCUCUCUUCUUCUUGUUUUCAGUUUCUGUCUUCUCUUUCACAAAGUUUUCUCACUUAGCUAUAAUGUAUGUUUAAUAAUACACUAUUUCAUUAUUGUGUUACUCAAAAUCCUCAAGCCACUUUAUCUCAAGAUGCAAAUACCUAGACCUCAGGUUCAAAGCUAAUAAUCUAAGACAAUUCAAAUGUCGAAUCACAUUUCAAAAUAUUUUCUUCCUGUUCAGCCAUACAAGUCUCCUUGUUGUCCCCUGAAUACACUAAGUUCUCACUUAACGUCAGUAGUAGGCUCUUGGAAACUGCAACUUUAAGCAAAACAACAUAACAAAACCAAUUUUACCACAGGCUAAUCGAUAGAAAAAAGAGUUUAGUUUCUAUGGUAUAUUUCUAGUCACAAAAACAUCACAGAACUUCUAAAUAAAGACUCAAAACAUUUCCAAUAUUAAACAUUGAAAUGAAUGUGAGCUACACAUACAUUUAAGAAUGAGUAAUAAAAACAAGUAUGAUAAUUAUUUACCCAAUUUUUGGUGAAUCAGUAAAUGACAAUGGCUGUAGUGGUGGUGGUUAAAACAAGGAAUAAAUGUUCGUAAAGUGCAAAUUGAAAGGGGCAUGUCCCUGCAUCAAGCAGUUCCAGAACAGUCACAAAUAUGAUGAGUCCCGUUAGCACUUUCUUACCACAUUGCUUAUUGUCAUGGAUCUCUAUGAUUAUUGCAGGUGAAUGUAUUUACUCACUAAUUCACUUUCCAACCAAGUUAUUCUAGUUCAGGGUCUUGGAUGGCCAGAGCCUAUCCCCCACAGCUUAGGGUACAAGGCAAAAACUGACCCUAGAUAGGAUGUCAUUCCAUCACAGGGCGCACUCACCCACACACCCACAGUCACUCACACUGGGCCCAUGUAGACACACCAGUCAACCUAGUGGGCACAGCUUUGAGAUGUGAGAGGAAACCAGAGUACCUGGAGAAAACCCACGCAGACCUGGGGAAAACAUGCAGAUUCCAGAGAGAUGGUGGCCCCAGGCAAGUAUUGAUUUUUUUUCUCAUCAACAUUGUAACAAAAUACUGUUAAAGGAACAGACAUUAUUUGAGGACCUGCUGUAUGUUGUGUAGAAUCCCACCUCCAUAACUUCAUUCACAAUAGUCUCCUCGCCCAACAUACCAUCUUUCUUAUCUAUGCCAUUCUUCGAAACUUGACAAACUUCUAAACUGAAAUAGCAAAGCUGAUCACCUGAGUCCAGGAGAGACCAAGCUGCCCUCCAUAUUCCCAUGACAUUUUUUUUUGUCUUGUUCAUGGCAUACUAGAUUGUACACUUUCUUGAAUUUUUGCCUUUUAAUAUGUUUUGUUAUUUCAACCAACACAGUGUAUCUUUCCCAAGUCAUGCAUCUAGCAAUUGGUGAGACCAAGCUGUCCUCCUUAUUCCCAUAACAUUUUUUUUUGUUUCGUUCAUGGGAUACCAGAUUGUAUACUUUCUUGAAUUUUUGCCUUUUAAUAUGUUUUAUUAUUUCAACCAACAUAGUGUAUCUUUCCCAAGGCCAUGCAUCUAGUUACUGGCAUUCCAGGAUUCAAAUAGUUAUUAGGCUGGUUGCAAAGUACAAUUUUCCCACUUAUGAAAAAAACAAAUGAAAGAAAAAUCAUCAGUAUUUAAAGACUAAUUUAAAUGGGUAGAAAGAGAGAUAUGAGCACCACUAACAGAAAAUAGGAAAGACUUUUUAUUAGUCUUGGGGUCAAGCUCAUUGUUAGAACUGAUGUGCAUGAGAGGAGAACCUACAAGCAGACAUAUCAAUUGGGAAUUUGGAAAUUUCUGAUCAGAGCUCAGGAAUAAUAACAGGCCCAGAUAUUUAAAUUUGGAAGUCAUAAUAAUAAAAAAUAUGAGAUUUUAAUUUUGGAAGUGGGCCUGGGAAGUAACCAUCCAACUGCUUUAUUUUCUAGAUUAUACACAUAUCUAUAUAGAGGUCACAUGUGAAAGAUCAGAUACGGUCAUU